AGCUCCAAUAGCGUAUAUUAAAGUUGUUGCAGUUAAAAAGCUCGUAGUUGGAUCUCUGGGGAGGGCCAGUCGGUCGGCCGCAAGGUCAGUUACUGUCUACCUUCCCCUUUCUUUGCAGAGGCGUUUGUGUGCACUUCGCUGUGUGCGCUCACGUAUUUGCAACGUUUACUUUGAAAAAAUUAGAGUGUUCAAAGCAGGCACGAACGUGGCUUGAAUACAUGAGCAUGGAAUAAUGGAAUAGGACUUCGGCUUUCCUAUUUUGUUGGUUUCUCGGACCGAAGUAAUGAUUAAGAGGGACAAUUGGGGGCAUCCGUAUUUCGUUGUCAGAGGUGAAAUUCUUGGAUUUACGAAAGACGAACAACUGCGAAAGCACUUGCCAAGAGUGUUUUCAUUAAUCAAG
RNAcentral lists this ribosomal RNA (400 nucleotides) under phytoplankton environmental sample. Its description in RNAcentral is "partial small subunit ribosomal RNA". It matches the Rfam family "Eukaryotic small subunit ribosomal RNA", at positions 587 to 981 of the family's 1831-position model. The record is from RNAcentral.